This 870-nucleotide ribosomal RNA is filed under the name uncultured bacterium. RNAcentral's name for it is "bacterial SSU rRNA". It matches the Rfam family "Bacterial small subunit ribosomal RNA", at positions 10 to 879 of the family's 1533-position model. The record is from RNAcentral.
AGUUUGAUCCUGGCUCAGGAUGAACGCUGGCGGCGUGCCUAAUACAUGCAAGUCGAACGAAUCUCUUCGGAGAUGAGUGGCGAACGGGUGAGUAAUACAUAGGUAACCUGCCCCUGUGCGGGGGAUAACAGGAGGAAACUCCUGCUAAUACCGCAUAGCCAUGAGCACCGCAUGGAGCUCAUGCCAAAUAUCCUUUCGGGGAUAGCGCAGGGAUGGACCUAUGGCGCAUUAGCUUGUUGGCGGGGCAACGGCCCACCAAGGCAACGAUGCGUAGCCGGCCUGAGAGGGCGGACGGCCACAUUGGGACUGAGACACGGCCCAGACUCCUACGGGAGGCAGCAGUAGGGAAUUUUCGGCAAUGGGGGAAACCCUGACCGAGCAACGCCGCGUGAGCGAAGAAGGCCUUCGGGUCGUAAAGCUCUGUUGUAAAGGAAGAACGGCGCAUACAGGAAAUGGUAUGCGAGUGACGGUACUUUACCAGAAAGCCACGGCUAACUACGUGCCAGCAGCCGCGGUAAUACGUAGGUGGCGAGCGUUAUCCGGAAUCAUUGGGCGUAAAGAGGGAGCAGGCGGCCGCAAGGGUCUGUGGUGAAAGACCGAAGCUAAACUUCGGUAAGCCAUGGAAACCGGGCGGCUAGAGUGCGGAAGAGGAUCGUGGAAUUCCAUGUGUAGCGGUGAAAUGCGUAGAUAUAUGGAGGAACACCAGUGGCGAAGGCGACGGUCUGGGCCGCAACUGACGCUCAUUCCCGAAAGCGUGGGGAGCAAAUAGGAUUAGAUACCCUAGUAGUCCACGCCGUAAACGAUGGUCACUAAGUGUCGGGGGUCAAACCCCGGUGCUGCAGUCAACGCAAUAAGUGACCCGCCUGAGUA